GUUUUGUGUUUGUUUUUUUUGAGCCCAAAGGUGUUACCAAAACAUUUUUAUUUUACUAUGCCUUGGGCACAGUUUUGAUCCUUUUAUGCCAGGUUAUUCACUAAAAGUAUGAAUUGCUGGGAAUUCAAUUCGAAUUACACAUUUAAGCCAAAAUUGCGGGAAAAAUCGAAUAAACCUGGUUAUAUAAAUGGACCUCAAAUGUAUUUUCCUCCUACAAGAUACAAAUCAAAAUGCCUGUUUCUUCUUAAAUGGCACACUC
This is a non-coding RNA of Pelobates cultripes (western spadefoot toad), 259 nucleotides long. The record is from the annotation of a GenBank genome assembly. NCBI's taxonomy places the organism in Eukaryota, Metazoa, Chordata, Amphibia, Anura, Pelobatidae.